RNAcentral lists this unclassified non-coding RNA (151 nucleotides) under uncultured Apodus. Its description in RNAcentral is "sequence contains ITS1". Lineage: Eukaryota; Fungi; Ascomycota; Sordariomycetes; Sordariales; Lasiosphaeriaceae. The record is from RNAcentral.
CAGAGUUGCAAAACUCCCAACCCUUUGUGAACGAACCUAACAGUUGCUUCGGCGGGAGGCUCCUCAGGGCCUCGCCCCCCGCGGGCACCCCGCCGGAGUCCUACAAACUCUUGAUUAUUUUGGCAUCUCUGAGUAGCUUACAAAUAAGUUA